ACGCUGGUGGCUCAGUGGUAGAGUUCUUGUCUUCUGUCUGGGAGACCUGGAUUCGAUUCCCAGCCAACGCA
RNAcentral lists this transfer RNA (71 nucleotides) under Loxodonta africana (African savanna elephant). It matches the Rfam family "tRNA". Rfam says of the family: Transfer RNA (tRNA) molecules are approximately 80 nucleotides in length. Lineage: Eukaryota; Metazoa; Chordata; Mammalia; Proboscidea; Elephantidae. The record is from Rfam by way of RNAcentral.